Molecule: ribosomal RNA, 253 nt
Filed under: uncultured bacterium
Lineage: Bacteria
Description: partial 16S ribosomal RNA
Rfam family: Bacterial small subunit ribosomal RNA
Source: RNAcentral
GACGAGGGAUCCUAGCGUUGUUCGGAAUUACUGGGCGUAAAGCGCGCGCAGGCGGCUAUCCAAGUCAGUGGUGAAAGCCCGGAGCUCAACUCCGGAACUGCCAUUGAAACUGUUUAGCUUGAGGAUGAGAGAGGUGAGUGGAAUUCCCAGUGUAGAGGUGAAAUUCGUAGAUAUUGGGAAGAACACCGGUGGCGAAGGCGGCUCACUGGCUCAUUACUGACGCUCAGGCGCGAUAGCGUGGGGAUCAAACAGG